This is a long non-coding RNA of Astatotilapia calliptera (eastern happy), 1709 nucleotides long. NCBI's taxonomy places the organism in Eukaryota, Metazoa, Chordata, Actinopteri, Cichliformes, Cichlidae. The record is from Ensembl.
UGAGAAUUAAACCUGGAAGUCUGCACUUCAAUUCCAUCUUGAUACUUUGAUUUAACAUCCACUGCGUUGGUGUGAAGAGGCAAAAUUUAUCAUCAUUUGCAGAUAGCCUGAUGGCUGAAGAGCUGCAGGCCACGCAUUUACAUUACAUACAUUUAAAAACAGCGUCCUCAUGCAGAACAUUCUGGCAAAGUCCACACUAGGGAAGAUGUUUGCAGCCAGGUCGCAACUUUAAUCAAAGCAGAUCAAUUCUGAAACAAAACACAGCAACACACUCCUAUAAUCUACACCAGUUUUAUCCGUCUACAUUAUAUUUAAGGAUUAUUUUAAUGGUUCUAUUCUUUAUACAGUUGCACAGAGCACAUCUUUACCUUCACAGACAGCAAAACAUGAAUUUUUCAGCCCCUUGGACUCCAUCACGACACAGGAGCAACUGGGCAAACUGAUUAUUCUCGGCUAAAAUGAAGUUUCCUAGAGAGAUGAAGCUGAUCUCAGCUCCUGCUUGUACCAAUGCAAUGAAUUUAAACAACUUACCAACUCACAGCAUUCGAGGAACACCAGAACGUCAAACAAAAAAGAUCCUCAAUGCAUGCAUUUGACUGCAGCAUGCUGGAUUCAAACAUUUCUUUUUUUCUACCUUAUUUUCAAAAAACAACAACAACAACAAAAAGAGAUCGCAGCUCAAAAUUUCUGUGAACUGGAGAUCUUGUUGGCUCUCAAUAGCACAAUAACUUCAGUCGUGUAUUUUAAAUGGUAUCCAGGAAAAGGCAGUAUUACCAUACUUUAACUGAGAUUAUAUGUUUUUACUGCGGCUGGCACACUGAAGAGAGCCUUAAAGCCUGGGACAGGCCAUUUAACGGCGCGGUUCAAAGAGGCAAAUUGCUGUUAUUACUGCAAACCUUUCCCAUCCUUCAUAAAAUCCUUUUUGCUUUGAACAGACAAUCCAAUUUUAAGCAACUGAAGUUUAUCGCUAGCCAUCUUAAAUUGAAGCACAUGAUUCUUUGUGGCCACAAAAUAGUUUUUAUUUAUUUUAAAUAACUUGUGCAUCUUAUUCCAGCAUGAGUACUUUACCUCUCCUUUAUCCUCCACCAGUGAGUCAUCCUGCUGUGAUGCACAACCUUACAACAUACUGUUUUUUUAAAUUAAGGUUUCUUUUUAUUAACAGUGCAUGCAAGGUGGAUAUCAAGCAAUCAAGAUAAAAAACUCAAAAAUCCUAGCUACAUAUAUGUACGCGUUCAUUUUCUUCAUUAUUAUCAUUCUUCAGGAUCACUCUUACCCACGCGGUAAAUAUUGAAAACAGUCAUAUACAGGGUAUACAGGGUCUCCUUAGUCUUUUUAGAACAAGCGUAGUGAGUUCAGACUGUAACAUAAAGCGGUCAGCCGCUGGGUCCUUCAUGGCAUAGAAAGCUGCUAAAAUAUACUCACGCAGGUAUAUUUUGUGCUGAUAAAUAUUUUCACGGCCCUUUGAGAUAUAGAAGAAACACAAUACAAACGUACAUGAAUACCAGUCUGAAUAUUAUAACAAAAUAAAUACAUUUGCUGUGACGCAGAGCUGCCUCUCGUAUAUUUCUAAACACUUCUUCAGUGCAGCUCCUGAAGGAGAAUCAUUCAGAAAAAUAAUUACAGGGUGAUGAGCGAUGUGAGGAAAGUUGGAAAUUAUGACCGGGGGAGACUAGCAGCUAAGGUUUGUGGGAGCUGUGGCGAAUUAAAGC